GCAGUCGUGGCCGAGUGGUUAAGGCGAUGGUCUUGAAAAUCGUUGGGGUGUCCCGACGCGAGUUCGGAUCCCGCCGACUGCG
This is a non-coding RNA of Rhipicephalus microplus (southern cattle tick), 82 nucleotides long. NCBI's taxonomy places the organism in Eukaryota, Metazoa, Arthropoda, Arachnida, Ixodida, Ixodidae. The record is from the annotation of a RefSeq genome assembly.